This 398-nucleotide ribosomal RNA is filed under the name uncultured bacterium. RNAcentral's name for it is "bacterial SSU rRNA". It matches the Rfam family "Bacterial small subunit ribosomal RNA", at positions 358 to 772 of the family's 1533-position model. The record is from RNAcentral.
GGAAUUUUGCACAAUGGGCGAAAGCCUGAUGCAGCGACGCCGCGUGCGGGAUGAAGGCCUUCGGGUUGUAAACCGCUUUCAGGAGGGACGAAAAUGACGGUACCUCCAGAAGACGCCCCGGCCAACUACGUGCCCGCAGCCGCGGUAACACGUAGGGGGCGGGCGUUGGCCGGAUUUAUUGGGCGUAAAGGGCUCGUAGGCGGUUCAGCAAGUCAACUGUGAAAACCCGGGGCUCAACCCCGGGACGCCAGUCGAAACUGCUGUGACUAGGGUCCGGUAGAGGUGAGUGGAAUUCUCGGUGUAGCGGUGAAAUGCGCAGAUAUCGAGAGGAACACCAGUAGCGAAGGCGGCUCACUGGGCCGGUACCGACGCUGAGGAGCGAAAGCGUGGGGAGCAAA